Molecule: long non-coding RNA, 771 nt
Organism: Triticum dicoccoides
Lineage: Eukaryota; Viridiplantae; Streptophyta; Magnoliopsida; Poales; Poaceae
Exons: 3
Source: RefSeq, a predicted model, not a curated record
CACAAACCACCCUCUCCACGCCCAGAACCAAACAUAGGAGACGCCAUGGGACGGGGGGAUUGAGAAGAAGAUAGAACAGGAACGGCCAUGGAAGAGGAGCAUCAAGGCCCAGCAAACAGCACAAAGACACAUGGCAGAGAGAGGUGUACCUGGAGAGAACACAGAGGGGAGAUCUGCCACUAAUUGCUGGACUCUACAUGAAGAACAUCCAAGAAAGGAUCCAUAGAUGGAAAGCAAGCACAUAACGUUCACAGAGGAGCAAUUUCUCUCAAUGUCACAAGAAGAACUGAUCCUAAAUGUGAUUUGCAUUAGCAAAAAUAAGUCAAAAACUUGAAGGAAAAUCUAUAUACAUGUUAUUGAAAAGUUCAAAUACUACUGCAGGAUACAUUUUCAUUCACUGCGCUUCUACAAUCUGACAUUAUAUACAAGGCUCAUUUAGUGAAUUCGCCUGUGAAUACAUACCAGCCUUUUGAUCGAUCGUUGCCAGGGAACAAUAAUGGAUCUUCCAUCCAUACCUCGCUGCUUGAUUGCAUCAACCUUGCAGUAGUACGCAUCUGGUGAUGUUUGUACUAUUUAUGCAUUUGAAGUCACGUGUUGCUUUUACCCAAUAAUAUAAUGUACGUGUGGUGUUUACACGCGAAUGUAUUGUAGACCUUUGUAUGUGUAUAAGUGAAUUUUUAGUUCACAAGUAUAAUGGUCGAUGUCAUAGUGGUACACAAGAACCUUUGUUCGAUUGUCAAUUUGAUUGAAAAAAUGAGAUCCCGAGUAUUG